UCGACGGGCCGUCCGGGUUGCUGUGAGGGGAGAGGAGAAACGAACAACCCGAUGGUGUAAAGGGGCAAGGGGAUUCUGGUGGUUCUGGAGUAAGCGAGGUGGUGAUUACCGGCUUCGUUGAAGUCUAUGCUAGCGUCGCUCUUCAAGAAGUCGGACUGUUUCUCGUCGCCAAAAUCGAGAACAAGGAUUUCCUGAGACAACGUCAUAUCCUCCGCUUUCUCCUC
Apis mellifera (honey bee) is the source of this 224-nucleotide long non-coding RNA. RefSeq lists it as uncharacterized. The transcript has 2 exons. The record is from RefSeq and is a predicted model, not a curated record. Lineage: Eukaryota; Metazoa; Arthropoda; Insecta; Hymenoptera; Apidae.